RNAcentral lists this ribosomal RNA (219 nucleotides) under uncultured bacterium. Its description in RNAcentral is "partial 16S ribosomal RNA". It matches the Rfam family "Bacterial small subunit ribosomal RNA", at positions 524 to 741 of the family's 1533-position model. The record is from RNAcentral.
UACGGGGGGGGGCAAGCGUUGUUCGGAAUUAUUGGGCGUAAAGGGUGCGUAGGCGGUCUGACAAGUCUGAUGUGAAAUCUAUGGGCUCAACCCAUAGUCUGCAUCGGAAACUGUCGGGCUUGAGUAUGGGAGAGGUGAGUGGAAUUUCCGGUGUAGCGGUGAAAUGCGUAGAUAUCGGAAGGAACACCUGUGGCGAAAGCGGCUCACUGGACCAUUACU